UACGUAGGGGGCAAGCGUUGUCCGGAUUUAUUGGGCGUAAAGAGCGUGUAGUCGGCUAUACAGGUCCGCUGUGAAAACUCGAGGCUCAACCUCGAGACGUCGGUGGAAACCGUAUGGCUAGAGUCCGGAAGAGGAGAGUGGAAUUCCUGGUGUAGCGGUGAAAUGCGCAGAUAUCAGGAAGAACACCCGUGGCGAAGGCGGCUCUCUGGGACGGUACUGACGCUGAGACGCGAAAGCGUGGGGAGCAAACAGG
RNAcentral lists this ribosomal RNA (253 nucleotides) under uncultured bacterium. RNAcentral describes it as "partial 16S ribosomal RNA". It matches the Rfam family "Bacterial small subunit ribosomal RNA", at positions 524 to 776 of the family's 1533-position model. The record is from RNAcentral.